UACGUAGGGUCCGAGCGUUGUCCGGAAUUAUUGGGCGUAAAGAGCUCGUAGGCGGUCUGUUGCGUCGGUUGUGAAAACCUGGGGCUCAACUCCAGGCCUGCAAUCGAUACGGGCAGACUAGAGUUCGGUAGGGGAGACUGGAAUUCCUGGUGUAGCGGUGAAAUGUGUAGAGAUCGGGAGGAACACCGGUGGCGAAGGCGGGUCUCUGGGCAAUUCCUGACGCUGAGGCGCGAAAGCGUGGGGAGCAAACGGG
This 253-nucleotide ribosomal RNA is filed under the name uncultured bacterium. RNAcentral describes it as "partial 16S ribosomal RNA". It matches the Rfam family "Bacterial small subunit ribosomal RNA", at positions 524 to 776 of the family's 1533-position model. The record is from RNAcentral.